Molecule: long non-coding RNA, 1921 nt
Filed under: Anas platyrhynchos platyrhynchos (common mallard)
Lineage: Eukaryota; Metazoa; Chordata; Aves; Anseriformes; Anatidae
Description: lncRNA (ENSAPLG00000019603.1)
Source: RNAcentral
UUCACAACUGGGAAAAAGCCUGUUUGUAUUUUUAGUGGGAAGGUUAUUUUAAGCCAUGAGAAAGGUAUUAGAUAUUAUCUACCAUGGAGUAUUUGUAUAAACAAAGGUCUACCUGAUGGUUGUGCAAACAUCUGUUCUGCUCUUACCCAACAUUGCACGGUUCAUUAAAACUUACCCUGUUGGCCUCUGAAAGGCCAGUUCUGGAAGCACAUCGUCUUACUUACAGAAUCCACAAUUGCAAUAAUUUGUCUUCUAAAAGAAAAUAAUCUUAGCUUAGGGUAAUGAUUUUUUUUUUUAUUUUUUUUUUUUCCCCUCUGUAGAAAUAUGAUUUUAUGUUUUACAAUGCAGGCUCAAUAAAUUACAUUAAUAAAUGACUCCUGGUUCACGAGAAGUGCUGUAUUUUGACAAUAUCAGCCAACCUUUCCAUUUGUUUAAGCAGGAAAAGUGGGGAGCCAAAAUAAAGCUGUUACAGAAGAAAUCUCAAGAAUGUUUAUAAAACUCUACUCUAGCUACAUUUAUUAGGAGUCGAAGCAUAGUCUUAAUUUGUCAUGCAGAAUUCCAGGGGAGUGAGUAAUUUCUAGAGCUUCUCUAAAUGCCAGGACUUAAUAUUUUUCUGUAGCAAUUUGUUUGUAAACAUGGAGUAAAUUGUAUAGGUUGCAAUGUGACAAAAAGGUAUCUAGGAUUUGUCAUCUUCUGCUAACAGCUGUUGGGUUUAUUUUAUAGCAUCUCAUGGGGUUUUUCAGAUAAAUGCGCUGUUGAUGGCAAGUGAAAGCACCCUGAGGAUCUCUGAUGGUGGGCGUGCACAAAGUUUAACUGCAGUAGGCUGUUUGUUGGGGAUUUAAUCUCCAGUGGAUCAGCUCCCCUGGGUCGCUUCCGCUCCCACCAGGGUGUCGAUGUGUCAGCUCCAGAGAAACCCACACCACACAGGAGGCAAACUCCGGGCAAGAUGGUAAUCUCCCUUCUGGUCCUUUUUGGAGUUCACCAGGGAUGUUUGGCUAGAAACGCUUUUCCAUGGGUGCUUUCAAAUAUAUACCAAGCAGAGCUGCAGCGGCUGCUGAGGGUAAGCUGGACAUAGAUAGGAGAGGUGAGUGAAGUGCUUGACCCACGUGUUGGUGGUGACUAUUGGACUCCUGAUUUUCACUGCCUUGAAACUCAGGCUAUGUUCUUGUACCUAAUGGGACAAUGGCCAGGAAGGAUUAAGCUGCUUGGAUUUGGGACCAAAGGAUUUUUCUGAUUAUAGUUUGCUAUUUCAGUAUGAAGCCAAAGUGAUAGUAAAAUUGAGAAACUCAUAACAUAAAGUAUUGGCAGAAAAGUAGCAAUCAGUUUACAGUUACAUUUGUCAAAAAAUCUUGAUUAGAUGCUAUUUAAAGCAGUAACACAACUAAGAUUUAUAGCAUAGCAUAUUGCCCUUUUAUACACAAUAGAAGAUUACACAAAAUAUCAUGUCAAUGAAUGCACCUUCAAGUAAGGUAAUUAAUUCUAUGAUAAAUUAACAACUGAGAUAUUAGACAAUUUAAAAGUUAAAGCAUUACUUCCCCCUCUUCCUCCCUAAUAGAUGCCUAUGUUCCUGGCUACACGCAGUCUCCUCCCCACCUCCCAAAGGUAUCUUUUUUUUCUUUUUUUUUUUUUGGGGGGGGGGGGGAAUAAUUUAAUUUUUUAUAUUUAGUUUGAGCCCCUCAAAUUAAAAAAAAAAAAAAAAGAAAAAAAAAAGUACAGAAACUAUCUGAAACUACCUGAUUUUCUCUCUGAAGGAUUCUGCUUGUAGAUGGGUGCAGGCAUGUAUUGUUAUGACUUGACUGUUUCUGUUAGGCAUUCCAGUGAGUUUAGAGCAAUGGCAGAAAUGCUGUGGCCUUCUCUUUAAUACAGUGAUUCUGAAAAUAAUAAUAAUAAAAAAGUCUCUUUUACCUCUGUUUUCUUUCUC